UGUCGGGAACCAACUCAGUGGUCUAGUGGUUAAGCAUUUGCCGCUGAGCCGGUGGGCCCUGAGUUUGAUCCCUGAC
Molecule: non-coding RNA, 76 nt
Filed under: Schistosoma japonicum
Lineage: Eukaryota; Metazoa; Platyhelminthes; Trematoda; Strigeidida; Schistosomatidae
Source: RNAcentral